Molecule: long non-coding RNA, 553 nt
Filed under: Cyanistes caeruleus (blue tit)
Lineage: Eukaryota; Metazoa; Chordata; Aves; Passeriformes; Paridae
Description: lncRNA (ENSCCEG00000015551.1)
Source: RNAcentral
GGUCCCCGUCGGCCGCGCCGGGCGCUCCGAGGCCUGCGAGCGGGGCCGAGGCCUGGGCCCACCUGCCCCCAGCGCUCCCCACUUUAACACAACGAGACAGGAAGGGCCCUUCUGCUGUCUCAGCUUGUUUCACACACACAGAGAUGCUGCCCAGAACUCCGUGCUCGUCCCUGCACCCCAGACAUGCUGGAUGAGUGAGGAAAGCAGCAGCAAUUCCACUUCCCUGGGGAAAUUUAGGACCAGGUUCCCUGGAACCCGGCACACAAAGCACUCCAGUAACAAGCUUUUAAAUUCAGGAGUCAGGCAUGGAGGCCACAUCAGAGUUUCAUUCUGGGAGCUGCCACCUGAAGCCACAAGAGAACCCCACUCUGCUCCUGGGAGGGGGGCACCAGACCUGCCGCUUCAACCAACAAAGAGUCUCAAUACAGGAGUGUCUGUAAAGCAAAUAAUUUCUCUUCUCUUCAAAAUCAUCUUUUCCCUAUCCUUCAAGAUAGCUUGCAGUGCGCCAGAGCUGUUUCUGAGAGUGGGAAGGGCCUGGUUGCUGGCUCAGUGA